RNAcentral lists this ribosomal RNA (405 nucleotides) under uncultured bacterium. RNAcentral's name for it is "bacterial SSU rRNA". It matches the Rfam family "Bacterial small subunit ribosomal RNA", at positions 356 to 773 of the family's 1533-position model. The record is from RNAcentral.
GGGGAAUAUUGCACAAUGGGCGCAAGCCUGAUGCAGCAACGCCGCGUGAGGGACGACGGCCUUCGGGUUGUAAACCUCUUUUAGCAAGGAAGAAGCGAAAGUGACGGUACUUGCAGAAAAAGCGCCGGCUAACUACGUGCCAGCAGCCGCGGUAAUACGUAGGGCGCAAGCGUUAUCCGGAAUUAUUGGGCGUAAAGAGCUCGUAGGCGGUUUGUCACGUCUGCUGUGAAAACCCGAGGCUCAACCUCGGGCCUGCAGUGGGUACGGGCAGACUAGAGUGCGGUAGGGGAGAUUGGAAUUCCUGGUGUAGCGGUGGAAUGCGCAGAUAUCAGGAGGAACACCGAUGGCGAAGGCAGAUCUCUGGGCCGUAACUGACGCUGAGGAGCGAAAGGGUGGGGAGCAAAC